GCGGCCGUAGUCUAGUCUGGUAGGACUCGAGGUUGCCAAUCUCGAAACCCGGGUUCAAAUCCCGGCAGCCGCA
This 73-nucleotide transfer RNA is filed under the name Candidatus Burarchaeum sp. RNAcentral's name for it is "tRNA-Gly". It matches the Rfam family "tRNA". Rfam says of the family: Transfer RNA (tRNA) molecules are approximately 80 nucleotides in length. Their secondary structure includes four short double-helical elements and three loops (D, anti-codon, and T loops). Further hydrogen bonds mediate the characteristic L-shaped molecular structure. tRNAs have two regions of fundamental functional importance: the anti-codon, which is responsible for specific mRNA codon recognition, and the 3' end, to which the tRNAs corresponding amino acid is attached (by aminoacyl-tRNA synthetases). tRNAs cope with the degeneracy of the genetic code in two manners: having more than one tRNA (with a specific anti-codon) for a particular amino acid; and 'wobble' base-pairing, i.e. permitting non-standard base-pairing at the 3rd anti-codon position. Lineage: Archaea; Nanobdellati; Microcaldota; Candidatus Micrarchaeia; Candidatus Burarchaeales; Candidatus Burarchaeaceae. The record is from RNAcentral.